Long non-coding RNA from Trifolium pratense (red clover), 482 nucleotides. RefSeq lists it as uncharacterized. The transcript has 2 exons. NCBI's taxonomy places the organism in Eukaryota, Viridiplantae, Streptophyta, Magnoliopsida, Fabales, Fabaceae. The record is from RefSeq and is a predicted model, not a curated record.
UAAGUCCAUAAGAGUUAAAAAAAUAUUUAUUUAAUGAAAGGAGAGGAUGAGAUUAAUAAAUUAUAAAGUGGCAAAAUCAUUUGUUACAUGCAAAGGAAAAAGUAUGGCUGAAAUUGUCAAAUUUAUUUAUGUUAUGAUUUUCUUUCUUUUCAUAUUUCUUGUUUCCAUGAACGUAGAUGCAGGUGAUAGACGUACACAAGAUUUUGUUUUUGCACUAAAAUGUACAACUGAGAUUCAAUGUCAAUUCAUGCAUUGUCGCUUUCCUUUCCCUAUGGCGAAGUGUCUCAUUUCAAAAUGUAGAUGUUGUAAACGUAUUGCGAAUGAUUAUGUGUGUACAGACUAGAAUAUUAUGUGAGCUACCAUAUAGUUAUUAUGUUGGCACCCAAUAAUUUAAGUUUUUUUUUUUCUUUUCUAUUUUCAAGAACCUUAUAUAUAACCAAUAAAGUAGAUUCUAGGAACGAACUGGAAAAAUUAAGUCUCAA